GUCAGCACCCCGCUCUGAAGAGACGGGGCUUCAUGCCUCUCCUUUGGAUAGCUGACCAGCCUUAGCCUUAAAUGACUACGUUAUCGGGAAGCGUUAAAGUUCUUACCUUGGGAUGCGAAGCUAGUCCCAAGCUCUAAA
RNAcentral lists this small RNA (138 nucleotides) under Planktothrix serta PCC 8927. Its description in RNAcentral is "HEARO". It matches the Rfam family "HNH endonuclease-associated RNA and ORF (HEARO) RNA", at positions 1 to 132 of the family's 211-position model. Lineage: Bacteria; Bacillati; Cyanobacteriota; Cyanophyceae; Oscillatoriales; Microcoleaceae. The record is from RNAcentral.